This 484-nucleotide ribosomal RNA is filed under the name uncultured bacterium. Its description in RNAcentral is "partial 16S ribosomal RNA". It matches the Rfam family "Bacterial small subunit ribosomal RNA", at positions 30 to 507 of the family's 1533-position model. The record is from RNAcentral.
AUUGAACGCUGGCGGCAGGCCUAACACAUGCAAGUCGAGCGGAUGAAGGGAGCUUGCUCCUGGAUUCAGCGGCGGACGGGUGAGUAAUGCCUAGGAAUCUGCCUGGUAGUGGGGGAUAACGUCCGGAAACGGGCGCUAAUACCGCAUACGUCCCGAGGGAGAAAGUGGGGGAUCUUCGGACCUCACGCUAUCAGAUGAGCCUAGGUCGGAUUAGCUAGUUGGUGGGGUAAAGGCCUACCAAGGCGACGAUCCGUAACUGGUCUGAGAGGAUGAUCAGUCACACUAGAACUGAGACACGGUCCAGACUCCUACGGGAGGCAGCAGUGGGGAAUAUUGGACAAUGGGCGAAAGCCUGAUCCAGCCAUGCCGCGUGUGCGAAGAAGGUCUUCGGAUUGUAAAGCACUUUAAGUUGGGAGGAAGGGCAGUAAGUUAAUACCUUGCUGUUUUGACGUUACCAACAGAAUAAGCACCGGCUAACUUCGUG